RNAcentral lists this transfer RNA (72 nucleotides) under Streptomyces phage StarPlatinum. RNAcentral's name for it is "tRNA-Trp". It matches the Rfam family "tRNA". Rfam says of the family: Transfer RNA (tRNA) molecules are approximately 80 nucleotides in length. Their secondary structure includes four short double-helical elements and three loops (D, anti-codon, and T loops). Further hydrogen bonds mediate the characteristic L-shaped molecular structure. tRNAs have two regions of fundamental functional importance: the anti-codon, which is responsible for specific mRNA codon recognition, and the 3' end, to which the tRNAs corresponding amino acid is attached (by aminoacyl-tRNA synthetases). tRNAs cope with the degeneracy of the genetic code in two manners: having more than one tRNA (with a specific anti-codon) for a particular amino acid; and 'wobble' base-pairing, i.e. permitting non-standard base-pairing at the 3rd anti-codon position. Lineage: Duplodnaviria; Heunggongvirae; Uroviricota; Caudoviricetes; Stanwilliamsviridae. The record is from RNAcentral.
AUGUCCUAAGUGUUACGGUAGCACGGUGGUCUCCAAAACCACAAGCGAGGGUUCAACUCCUUCAGGACAUGC